CAUCGUGUGCUGGGGCCCAGGGGGUCUCGGGCCUGGGCGGCAGGGAGGCCCUGCCCUCCUUACCCAGUUCUGCUGAGGACUCCCUCCACCUGAGUCAGAGGGGAAAGUGGGUGAUGCGCUUGUGCAGACGGGGCUCUGGAGCCUCGGGGAGCUAUUGGUGGCAGAGCAUCUCACUUAGAAGUAGGCGGCUGAGCUUCCAGGGGCAAGGCAGGAGGCCAGUGGAGCCAGGAAGUGCUGGGCCUGAGGACCGAGGAUGGGGCUGUGCUGUUGAGGAAUAAGGAGUGAUGGGUGAGGGUGGAAGGGAGCCCGUCUGGGGAUCAGGGAGCUUUGUGGGGGCGAGGACUGCCCCCACCAGGAAGUCUGGGUGGGGAGCUGUGCCUACAGUCCUCAGCAGCCUGCAGUGGGGAGGAACCCUGGGGAAGGGCAGGCUCCGUUUUGACUGGAUUGAGAGCUUUCUUCAAGGUCUCCCCAGUAGCGAUCCACACCCCUUCCUCCCCUCUGCCCUCCUAGGUUUCCCCCAGCAAGGAGGACAACAUGGGUCUAAAUCUAUCACUGACAUCUCUGCUUAUUAGCUGAUCCUUGCCACCUGGCUAACUCCGACCACAGCAAAACUGAGAGUUCCGAGGGCUUCUCAGAGGCCCAGGUCAAGAAAUAGACUACUGUCAGCACCCCAGAAGUCCCGUGUCCUUCCCUGAUCACAGCCCCAUCCUUCCGCCCUGGAGGGAACCAGUAUCCUGACUUUUGUGAUCCUCAUUUCCUUGUUUGUCUUCCAAAGCAUUUAGUCUCUUAGAUGUUAUCAUCUUUGAGUUUCACAAUAACCUUCUUAUUCCCAUUUUACAGAUGAAGAAACUGAGGCUCAGAAAGGUUAAAUAACUAGUCCAAGGCCACCCAGCAAGUAAGUGGUAAAACCAGGAUCAUAUUUGGAUUGGCUGAUGCCCAGGGCAGUUUCUUAGUCAAACCAGAAUCCACAGGAAACCCUGAGACAACCUUGGUGUUGGAGCCCGACACCCCAGUGCCCCUGAGAAGGGGAGGCCACCUUCACAGCCUGCCCAGGUGCUCCCCUCCCAGAUGUGUUGACUCACGUGACUCCGCAGGGUCCUGCUGUAUGAGUACCUGGCAGGAUGUGAUAGAGCCCAUUGGAAGUUGGGAGAGCAAGAGGAGCUGGGGGCUGAUCUGGGACGGGACCGAUGCCUAGAGAGAGCUUUGGGCCCUGCCUGACACAUGCCCAGGGAACCCGGGACUGAGAGGAUGUGCCUGAACCAGGUGUGUGCCCAAGUUUUUGCCAGAAUUACCAGGUGCGCCCUCCUUGGUGGGCCAGGUGUGCUUGGUGUGAGCAUGCAAGUGUGUUGUGCACCUGGCAUGUCCGUGUGCAUACCCAGCUCUAGCUACACACUUGGAUUGCUCUGAACCAUUUUCCCCAUCCUCAUCUUUUUUCUGUUAAUUAUAAAAUUAUAUGUGCUUCUUAUAAAAAGUUCAAAUGUAAAGUCUCUCCUCUUCUCUAAUUCUAAUCCAAAUGAUCCUAGACUUAAUUUCUUUGAACAAUUUGGCAUUUAUCCUUCUUUCUAAGCACAUUCAAAUAUAUAGUUAUUUAGAAAGCCACAUCCAAAUGCAGUAGUUUUAGGUUUAAUUAUUUUUAACAAAAUAGUAUCAGAAUCUACAGAUUGUUUUUCAACUUUUUUUUUCACUUCGAUUCCUUGGUCGUCUUCCCUGUCACUGUGUAUGGAUUUACUUCACUGUUUUUAACAGCUGAAGAAUAUUCCAGUAAAUGGAUGUUCCAUCGUUCAUUUACCUGGGUGGACCCCUCUGUGUCCUGGCUCCCCUGUUCUCCCAGAAGCUGAGAGAGUAGGUGUAAGAGGAAGGGGAGGACAAGGAGACUGGCCCUGCCCUGGGAGGCAGCCCAUCCCAGCUGCCCUUUGACCUCCUGCAAGUGGAUUCCCUUACAACCCCCCCAGC
This 1953-nucleotide long non-coding RNA is filed under the name Equus asinus (donkey). RNAcentral describes it as "lncRNA (ENSEASG00005036283.1)". The record is from RNAcentral. Lineage: Eukaryota; Metazoa; Chordata; Mammalia; Perissodactyla; Equidae.